UGGGGAAUUUUGGACAAAGGGGGAAACCCUGAUCCAGCCAUCCCGCGUGUGCGAUGAAGGCCUUCGGGUUGUAAAGCACUUUUGGCAGGAAAGAAACGUCAUGGGUUAAUACCCCGUGAAACUGACGGUACCUGCAGAAUAAGCACCGGCUAACUACGUGCCAGCAGCCGCGGUAAUACGUAGGGUGCAAGCGUUAAUCGGAAUUACUGGGCGUAAAGCGUGCGCAGGCGGUUCGGAAAGAAAGAUGUGAAAUCCCAGAGCUCAACUUUGGAACUGCAUUUUUAGCUACCGGGCUAGAGUGUGUCAGAGGGAGGUGGCAUUCCGCGUGUAGCAGUGAAAUGCGUAGAUAUGCGGAGGAACACCGAUGGCGAAGGCAGCCUCCUGGGAUAACACUGACGCUCAUGCACGAAAGCGUGGGGAGCAAACAGG
RNAcentral lists this ribosomal RNA (429 nucleotides) under Acidobacteriota bacterium. Its description in RNAcentral is "Acidobacteria bacterium partial 16S ribosomal RNA". It matches the Rfam family "Bacterial small subunit ribosomal RNA", at positions 355 to 776 of the family's 1533-position model. The record is from RNAcentral. Lineage: Bacteria; Pseudomonadati; Acidobacteriota.